UGUUUGGAGAGUUUGAUCCUGGCUCAGGACGAACGCUGGCGGCGUGCUUAACACAUGCAAGUCGAACGGGAUCCGCCUUCCCUUUUGGGUUGGUGGUGAGAGUGGCGAACGGGUGAGUAACACGUGAGUAACCUGCCCUCUUCUUUGGGAUAACUGCAAGAAAUUGUGGCUAAUACUGGAUAUUCUGCGUCUGCCGCAUGGUGGGUGUGGGAAAGGUUUUUCUGGUGGGGGAUGGGCUCGCGGUCUAUCAGCUUGUUGGUGGGGUGAUGGCUUACCAAGGCUUUGACGGGUAGCCGGCCUGAGAGGGUGGUCGGUCACACUGGGACUGAGAUACGGCCCAGACUCCUACGGGAGGCAGCAGUGGGGAAUUUUGCACAAUGGACGCAAGUCUGAUGCAGCGACGCCGCGUGGGGGAUGAAGGCCUUCGGGUUGUAAACCUCUUUCGCUCAUGGUCUAGGCGCUCUUUUGGGAGUGUUGAGUUGAGUGGGUAAAGAAGCGCCGGCUAACUACGUGCCAGCAGCCGCGGUAAUACGUAGGGCGCGAGCGUUGUCCGGAAUUAUUGGGCGUAAAGAGCUCGUAGGCGGUUUGUCGCGUCUGUCGUGAAAACUAGGGGCUUAACUCCUAGCUUGCGGUGGGUACGGGCAGGCUUGAGUGCAGUAGGGGAGACUGGAAUUCCUGGUGUAGCGGUGGAAUGCGCAGAUAUCAGGAGGAAUACCGGUGGCGAAGGCGGGUCUCUGGGCUGUUACUGACGCUGAGGAGCGAAAGCAUGGGGAGCGAACAGGAUUAGAUACCCUGGUAGUCCAUGCUGUAAACGUUGGGCACUAGGUGUGGGGGCUGUUGUGGUUUCUGCGCCGUAGCUAACGCAUUAAGUGCCAAGGCUAAAACUCAAAGGAAUUGACGGGGGCCCGCACAAGCGGCGGAGCAUGCGGAUUAAUUCGAUGCAACGCGAAGAACCUUACCAAGGCUUGACAUGCACCGGACCGCCGUGGAGACAUGGUUUCCUUUUUGGCUGGUGUGCAGGUGGUGCAUGGUUGUCGUCAGCUCGUGUCGUGAGAUGUUGGGUUAAGUCCCGCAACGAGCGCAACCCUUGUCCUAUGUUGCCAGCACGUUGUGGUGGGGACUCGUGGGAGACUGCCGGGGUUAACUCGGAGGAAGGUGGGGAUGACGUCAAAUCAUCAUGCCCCUUAUGUCUUGGGCUUCACGCAUGCUACAAUGGCGCCUACAGUGUGUUGCGAUGCCGUGAGGUGGAGCGAAUCACUUAAAGGGUGUCUUAGUUCGGAUCGGGGUCUGCAACUCGACCCCGUGAAGGUGGAGUCGCUAGUAAUCGCAGAUCAGCAACGCUGCGGUGAAUACGUUCUCGGGCCUUGUACACACCGCCCGUCACGUCACGAAAGUUGGUAACACCCGAAGCCUGCGGCCUAACCGUUUUCGGGGGGAGUGGUCGAAGGUGGGACUAGCGAUUGGGACGAAGUCGUAACAAGGUAGCCGUACCGGAAGGUGCGGCUGGAUCACCUCCUUU
RNAcentral lists this ribosomal RNA (1519 nucleotides) under Bifidobacterium breve. Its description in RNAcentral is "bacterial SSU rRNA". It matches the Rfam family "Bacterial small subunit ribosomal RNA". Lineage: Bacteria; Bacillati; Actinomycetota; Actinomycetes; Bifidobacteriales; Bifidobacteriaceae. The record is from RNAcentral.